This 137-nucleotide small nucleolar RNA is filed under the name Glossina austeni. RNAcentral's name for it is "small Cajal body specific RNA 8". Lineage: Eukaryota; Metazoa; Arthropoda; Insecta; Diptera; Glossinidae. The record is from RNAcentral.
AUGGGUGAAGAUACAGUGUCUGCGUGAAAACUAUGCUAACGGUACUCACAAUAUGCCCAUAUAGUAUAUAAUAUAUGUUUUUUGAUGAGCCUGAAAGAUUAAGUCUUACCUCAGGAACAGAUACGAGACAUACAAAU